Lathyrus oleraceus (garden pea) is the source of this 1129-nucleotide long non-coding RNA. RefSeq lists it as uncharacterized. The record is from RefSeq and is a predicted model, not a curated record. NCBI's taxonomy places the organism in Eukaryota, Viridiplantae, Streptophyta, Magnoliopsida, Fabales, Fabaceae. The transcript has 4 exons.
ACAAGGGAAAGGAAGAGGUUCAGGAUGAAUCUCAUUUCAGUUUUCACUCAAACCACAUCCAUGAGUCUUGCCUGAGCCAACAAACUCCGUCGCGCCGGAAAUUGCCUCAGGCGGCGGCGGAGGUCCAAACCUACAAAAACUUAUGUCAAAAUGCUCAGCGUAAUCUCUUCUCUCACAAUCUCAACUAUUUUCAUCACAUCCUCCUCCAUGAUCCGAAUCAAAGUCAAAGAAGGAAGAACCCUAGAACUGAAAAUCAAAAUUAAAUGACGAGUAUGAAGAAAUUGGAAACCAAACCUUAAGAGUUUGGCUCCCUAGAGCUCAAGCUACAUCGUGUCAACAAAAAUGCGAACGAAAAUGAUGGAUUCAAGAGCAACUGACCUACGAAGAGGAUCACUCGUUGAAUCUCAAGGUCGAUGCAAAUGGAUCAAGAAAAUACCAGAGGCACAAUAGUAAGUGAUGGAGAGUGAGAGGUUCAGAGAAAAAUCAAAACCAUAGAGUGAUGCAAAUUCUCAGAGAUUGAAGAUGAUGAUGUGGUAUUUCGAAGGAGCAAUUGUAAGGGUGUGGAAGGUGAAUAUGGAGAGAGAAAUCUCAGAAACUAAACGAGAGUGAGAGAGUAGUGAUUGUGGAAAAUGAUGUUUUUCUUCUUUUUUUACAAUGAUUGGUGAGAGGGGUUGAUUUAGAGAGGGGGGAGAGUGUAACUACUUCGAGCAGUCAUGGAAACCGUUUGGGCAAGGGGAUGUUGGAUCUAGUUGAGAUUCCAAACUUGAUGUGGGAAAUCUAGAAGACUUGUAUGUGGCUGCCAUGAUUCAGGAAGCAAUAUUCAAUAAGUUCACCCUAGUUUGGGAUGGCAUCAUGGCUAGCAUGGAACAAAUCGAAUCUUAGUGAAUAACUUUAAAGACUUUGAUGCACAAAGGAGGAAUGCCUUGCAAUUGAAUGAAGGAAAUAAGAUUAGAGUUUUCUUGGGGUUUAGUGGUUGACCUUGGUCAACUGGCUGACCAAAAAAUCAAUAAUUGACCAAAGUCAACUGUAGGUCGAAAGUGUAUUAUUUUGUGUAAAGUCUUGGAUUUUGUGUGAUGUAAUGUAAUUGGAUAUUUGGAAAUGAAAAUGGAUUUUUGAAUGGAUUGAACAA